This 379-nucleotide ribosomal RNA is filed under the name uncultured cyanobacterium. RNAcentral describes it as "bacterial SSU rRNA". It matches the Rfam family "Bacterial small subunit ribosomal RNA", at positions 376 to 770 of the family's 1533-position model. Lineage: Bacteria; Bacillati; Cyanobacteriota. The record is from RNAcentral.
CGAAAGCCUGACGGAGCAACGCCGCGUGUGGGAAGAAGGCUCUUGGGCUGUCAACCACUUUUCUCAGGGAAGAAGUUCUGACGGUACCUGAGGAAUCAGCCUCGGCUAACUCCGUGCCAGCAGCCGCGGUAAUACGGAGGAUGCAAGCGUUAUCCGGAAUUAUUGGGCGUAAAGCGUCCGCAGGUGGCUAGUCAAGUCUGCUGUCAAAGACCAGGGCUUAACCCUGGGCCGGCAGUGGAAACUGGUUAGCUGGAGUACGGUAGGGGUAGAGGGAAUUCCUGGUGUAGCGGUGAAAUGCGUAGAUAUCAGGAAGAACACCGGUGGCGAAAGCGCUCUACUGGGCCGUGACUGACACUGAGGGACGAAAGCUAAGGUAGCG